CUUCACCGACCCGAGGUAGAGCGGCUCGGCGCGGUCCUGUCCGUAGACCGAGAGGAUCGCCUGCGCCUC
RNAcentral lists this non-coding RNA (69 nucleotides) under Lentzea aerocolonigenes. Lineage: Bacteria; Bacillati; Actinomycetota; Actinomycetes; Pseudonocardiales; Pseudonocardiaceae. The record is from RNAcentral.